Molecule: ribosomal RNA, 245 nt
Filed under: uncultured bacterium
Lineage: Bacteria
Description: partial 16S ribosomal RNA
Rfam family: Bacterial small subunit ribosomal RNA
Source: RNAcentral
UACGAAGGGGGGCUAGCGUUGUUCGGAAUUACUGGGCGUAAAGCGCACGUAGGCGGAUCGUUAAGUCGGGGGUGAAAUCCUGGAGCUCAACUCCAGAACUGCCUUCGAUACUGGCGAUCUUGAGUCCGGAAGAGGUGAGUGGAACUCCUAGUGUAGAGGUGGAAUUCGUAGAUAUUAGGAAGAACACCGGUGGCGAAAGGCGGCUCACUGGUCCGGUACUGACGCUGAGGUGCGAAAGCGUGGGG